This 202-nucleotide ribosomal RNA is filed under the name uncultured fungus. RNAcentral describes it as "partial small subunit ribosomal RNA". Lineage: Eukaryota; Fungi. The record is from RNAcentral.
GGCCAGUCGGGUGCUGUGCUUCGGCCGGUUCACGAUUUGGUCAUCCGUAGGGGAAACCUAUUCGGCCUUCACUGGUCGGUAGGCGGAAUCUACAAUUUACUGUGAAAAAAUUAGAGUGUUUCAGGCAGGCAAUCGCUUGGAUACUCCAGCAUGGAAUAAUGGAAUAGGACUUUUGUCUAUUUGUUGGUUCAAGGCAAAAGUA